This 1028-nucleotide unclassified non-coding RNA is filed under the name Hevea brasiliensis (rubber tree). The record is from RNAcentral. Lineage: Eukaryota; Viridiplantae; Streptophyta; Magnoliopsida; Malpighiales; Euphorbiaceae.
AUAAACUGUUAACAGAGCAAAAGCAGGAUCAUAAAUUAUGCUUCUUGUUCAAUUGCACAUAUCAUUGAUAUAAAUUGUGGAACAAUUAUGAUACUAAAUGCCCUAGAUGAAUUGGUUUCUUGAUGUCUAGGAUGCUACUGAAGUAGAAAAGGAAAGGAAAGAAGGGAAAGAAGAAAAUGAGAGACUGAGAGCUGCACAUGGGAUGUAGGUAGGGCUAUAGCAAAUAUCUAUUUUGCAGGCUAUUUGAUGGAAGCAAAUCCACUACAGCACCAAGAGAUAAUAAUACCAAGAAGAAGAUAAGGGUUCAUAUGCAAUGGAAUAUUUCUAAGCUGGACCUCAUAUCUCCUGUGACUUGCAGUUUAAACACAAUUGAUUGACUGCAAUUUGCAAAGAAAUGGGACUCCCAUGGUACUUCACCUGUUUCCAGAUGAAAUCAUUAACAUUCAGUAGCUGGACCACAUCCCUCAGCUGAAAAUUGAAUUAAGUAGCUGGUUCACAAAACCAAUGCCCACAAUAUCGAUUUUCAAACCAUCAAAGUUAUCAACUGCUGUAACAGACUCAUUAGAAACCUCACAACCGUUGGGAAACUUGAUAACAUCGGAUUCCUCAGUUACCACAUCCUUAAAUUUAAGGUCAAAUAAAUACCAACACGAACUCAAGCUAAUUGAACAUUUUGCUCCCCAGUACUCCAGCUUAUCUACUGGUUGUGGCCUCGAAUAUUAAUACUCGUGUUGCAGGCUAGAAUUAUAGGAGCAAUAAAUUAGGAGAUAAACAAAACGACCAAGUUUUCCACAUAGGAAAGACAUGACAUAUAAUCUUGCACAAUCUGAAUGUAUGUAGCAUGUCCACCUGACAAUCCUGAAGCCACACUACAAGGUAGAGUGUAGAAAAGCUCUUGCAUUUCUUUCAGUGCAUGUAAACUAACAACGACAUCAAUAAUAAACAAUCAAGCAACAACCUCAGGAGUGGUUACCACAGCUGCAGCCUUAACAGAAGCAGUAGCAGCUGGUGCUGGUGCUGGUGCUGGC